Molecule: non-coding RNA, 98 nt
Organism: Eumeta japonica
Lineage: Eukaryota; Metazoa; Arthropoda; Insecta; Lepidoptera; Psychidae
Source: the annotation of a GenBank genome assembly
UACGUCUAUGCCACGCUGUAUAAACAUAUUUUCGUCCGUUCAGCGAAAUUAAGCAGCGUCGGGCACGGUCAGUACUUGGAUGGGUGACCGCCUGGGAU